RNAcentral lists this long non-coding RNA (311 nucleotides) under Brassica napus (rape). RNAcentral describes it as "long non-coding RNA (BNAP_LNC007193)". The record is from RNAcentral. Lineage: Eukaryota; Viridiplantae; Streptophyta; Magnoliopsida; Brassicales; Brassicaceae.
AAACAUCAUCUUCUGAUCUGUUAAGACUUUGGCAUGUUUGUUUGAGUGAGGACAAGUAGUCACCGAUCGGUUUAAGAUGCAUGCAUGUUGUAUAAGUUGUAACGGAAUUUACUUAAAUUGCGGAAAGUCUCAAAACUAUCUCCUCUUUGGAAUAACGAAUUUGAUAAAUGCAUAAUUAAGGCUUGUGGUUCAAACAUCACCUUCUUUUAUGUUAAGACUGUGGUAUGUUUUGUUUGCCUCUACCUUCCCUCACUCUGAGAUUUUAUGGACAUAAACAUUUUGGGAGUAUUCCUAUAUAUUAUUUUCAAAAA